Molecule: long non-coding RNA, 533 nt
Organism: Daktulosphaira vitifoliae (grape phylloxera)
Lineage: Eukaryota; Metazoa; Arthropoda; Insecta; Hemiptera; Phylloxeridae
Exons: 3
Source: RefSeq, a predicted model, not a curated record
AUUGAGUGUAUAUAAGUUCAUUUUUCUCAUCCCCAAAAGAAUUGUCAUUUAGAUGAAUUGCAAAACAACUUGGGUAUAAACACAAUAUCUAUGGGCGCAUUAGUAAUACUAGAUGGAAUUGUUGAUUUAAAAACUGUGAAGCCAUUAAACAAUGUUUUAAGAGUAUUCUUAUUGUAUUUAAAAGAUAAAUAGAAAAUGAAGCUGAUGUCAAUGAAGUAAAAGAAAUACUCUCAACAAUUACAAAAGGAUGGCUCCUUUUUUAUUAUACUUUUGUUCAUCAUGCACAACAUCUUGUGUUUCAUAUAUAUAUAGGGCCUAAAAGAAAAAAACAACAGCCAAAUCAUUUGGAUCGGAUUAUAGUAAACACUACUAAACACUACAGAUGCAAUAUCUAAAAUAAUGCGCGAACACAUAAUAAAAGCUGAAGAUUAUUACUGAAUCAAUAUAUAUAUUAUAAAAUCCUAGAUUCAUUUUAACAACAUUUAAAAUUUGAAAACAAAGUCGAUUUUCCAUAGAGAAUAUGCCUCUUGCUG